GACGAACGCUGGCGGCGCGCCUAACACAUGCAAGUCGAACGGAGCUGAGAGAAGCUUGCUUUUCUUAGCUUAGUGGCGAACGGGUGAGUAACGCGUGAGUAACCUGCCCUGGAGUGGGGGACAACAGUUGGAAACGACUGCUAAUACCGCAUAAGCCCACGAUCCGGCGUCGGAUUGAGGGAAAAGGAUUUAUUCGGGUCAGGAUGGACGCGCGUCCAAUUAGCUAGUUGGUGAGGUAACGGCCCACCAAGGCGACGAUUGGUAGCCGGACUGGGAGGUUGAACGGCCACAUUGGGACUGAGACACGGCCCAGACUCCUACGGGAGGCAGCAGUGGGGGAUAUUGCACGAUGGGGGAAGCCCUGAUGCAGCGACGCCGCGUGGAGGAAGAAGGUUUUCGGAUUGUAAACUCCUGUCGUUAGGGACGAUAAUGACGGUACCUAACAAGAAAGCACCGGCUAACUACGUG
Molecule: ribosomal RNA, 468 nt
Filed under: uncultured bacterium
Lineage: Bacteria
Description: partial 16S ribosomal RNA
Rfam family: Bacterial small subunit ribosomal RNA
Source: RNAcentral